UGGGGAAUAUUGCACAAUGGGCGGAAGCCUGAUGCAGCGACGCCGCGUGAGGGAUGACGGCCUUCGGGUUGUAAACCUCUUUCAGUAGGGACGAAGCGUAAGUGACGGUACCUGCAGAAGAAGCCCCGGCUAAUUACGUGCCAGCAGCCGCGGUAAUACGUAAGGGGCGAGCGUUGUCCGGAAUUAUUGGGCGUAAAGAGUGCGUAGGCGGCAAAUUAAGUCAGAUGUGAAAACUAAGGGCUCAACCCAUAGAUUGCAUCUGAAACUGAUAUGCUUGAGUCAAGGAGAGGAAAGUGGAAUUCCUAGUGUAGCGGUGGAAUGCGUAGAUAUUAGGAGGAAUACCGGUGGCGAAGGCGACUUUCUGGACUUGAACUGACGCUGAGGCACGAAAGCGUGGGGAGCAAACAGG
This 409-nucleotide ribosomal RNA is filed under the name Verrucomicrobiota bacterium. RNAcentral describes it as "Verrucomicrobia bacterium partial 16S ribosomal RNA". It matches the Rfam family "Bacterial small subunit ribosomal RNA", at positions 355 to 776 of the family's 1533-position model. Lineage: Bacteria; Pseudomonadati; Verrucomicrobiota. The record is from RNAcentral.